RNAcentral lists this ribosomal RNA (459 nucleotides) under uncultured bacterium. Its description in RNAcentral is "partial 16S ribosomal RNA". It matches the Rfam family "Bacterial small subunit ribosomal RNA", at positions 338 to 795 of the family's 1533-position model. The record is from RNAcentral.
CCUACGGGGUGCAGCAGUAGGGAAUAUUGCUCAAUGGGGGAAACCCUGAAGCAGCAACGCCGCGUGAGGGAAGACGGCCCUAUGGGUUGUAAACCUCUUUUGUCGGAGAACAAAACCCGGGACGUGUCCCGGACUGCGUGUAUCCGAAGAAAAAGCAUCGGCUAACUCCGUGCCAGCCGCCGCGGUAAUACGGAGGAUGCGAGGGUUAUCCGGAUUUAUUGGGUUAAAAGGGUGCGUAGGCGGUCCGUACAGUCAGCGGUAAAAUUGCGGGGCUCAACCCCGUCGAGCCGUUGAAACUGGCAGACUUGAGUUGGCGAGAGGUACGCGGAAUGCGCGGUGUAGCGGUGAAAUGCAUAGAUAUCGCGCAGAACUCCGAUUGCGAAGGCAGCGUACCGGCGCCAGACUGACGCUGAGGCACGAAAGCGUGGGGAUCGAACAGGAUUAGAUACCACUGUAGUC